RNAcentral lists this unclassified non-coding RNA (381 nucleotides) under uncultured Verrucomicrobiales bacterium. RNAcentral describes it as "contains 16S-23S intergenic spacer region". The record is from RNAcentral. Lineage: Bacteria; Pseudomonadati; Verrucomicrobiota; Verrucomicrobiia; Verrucomicrobiales.
UCCCAGUUUAUCUGGGCAGUCUAGCUUGAGAGCCUCAUUUUUAUUUGAGGCAACAAGCUAUGGGGGUUGCGCUCGUUGCGGGACUUAACCCAACAUCUCACGACACGAGCUGACGACAGCCAUGCAGCACCUGUGCUAAGCGCGUAUUGCUACGCUAUAUAGCUUUCGCUAUAGACACAAAGCAAGUCGAGCCCAGGUAAGGUUCUUCGCGUUGCAUCGAAUUAAGCCACAUACUCCACCGCUUGUGCGGGUCCCCGUCAAUUUCUUUGAGUCUUAAUCUUGCGACCGUACUUCCCAGGCGGCGUGUUUAACGCGUUUGCUACGGCACCGGGGGGGUCAACUCCACCGAUACCAAACACGCACCGUUUACAGCUAGGACUA